UCAAGCGUUUAAGGGCGUGUAGUGGAUGCCUUGGCACUGAAAGCCGAUGAAGGACGUGAUAUACUGCGAUAAGUUUCGGGGAGCUGUAUGUAAGCUUUGAUCCGAAAAUUUCCGAAUGGGGAAACCCACCACUUUAUGUGGUACUUUAAACUGAAUACAUAGGUUUAAAGAGACAACCUGGAGAACUGAAACAUCUAAGUAACCAGAGGAAAAGAAAUCAAUUGAGAUUCCGUUAGUAGUGGCGAGCGAACGCGGACUAGGCCAGUAGUUUUGUUAAAAAAAUUUGAAUAGUUUGGAAAUGCUAACCAUAGAGGGUGAUAGUCCCGUAUGAGUAAUGUUUAACAAAAUUCUUGAGUAAAGCGGGACACGAGAAAUCCUGCUCGAAUAUAGGGGGACCACCCUCUAAGCCUAAAUACUCUUCAGUGACCGAUAGUGAACUAGUACCGUGAGGGAAAGGUGAAAAGAACCCCUAUUAGGGGAGUGAAAUAGAACCUGAAACUGCAUGCCUACAAUCAGUCCGAGCCCUUUUUAGGGUGAGGGCGUACCUUUUGUAUAAUGGGUCAGUGACUUAAUUUAUUAAGCAAGCUUAAGCCAUCUAGGUGUAGGCGCAGCGAAAGCAAGUCUUAAUAGGGCGAUUAGUUUAAUGAAUUAGACCCGAAAACGAAUGAGCUUACCAUGAGCAGGUUGAAAGUUGGGUAACACCAACCGGAGGACCGAACCAGUUGACGUUGAAAAGUCUUUGGAUGACUUGUGGUAAGGGGUGAAAGGCCAACCAAAUUCGUAGAUAGCUGGUUUUCCGCGAAAACUAUUUAGGUAGUGCGUUGAAUAAAUAGAUGUUUAGAGGUAGAGCACUAAAUGGGCUAGGGGGAAGAGAUUCUUACCAAACCUAAUAAAACUCCGAAUGCUAGACAUUGUUCUUCAACAGACAGACUGUGGGUGCUAAGGUCCAUGGUCGAGAGGGAAAGAGCCCAGACCACCAGAUAAGGUCCCAAAAUCAUGAUUAAGUGUGAAAGGAUGUGGAAAUUCCAUAACAGCCGGGAGGUUGGCUUAGAAGCAGCCAUCCUUUAAAGAUAGCGUAACAGCUCACCGGUCUAAUAGAGUUUCUGCGCCGAAGAUGUAACGGGGCUAAAAUCAUGUACCGAAUCUGUGGCUUUGCAAAGUUUUCGAACUUUGUAAGGGGUAGCGGAACGUUCUGUAAGCCUGCGAAGGGAUACCCGUGAGGGAUCCUGGAGGUAUCAGAAGUGCGAAUGCUGACAUAAGUAACGAUAAAAGAAGUGAAAAACUUCUUCGCCGAAAAUCCAAGGGUUUCUGCGCAAGGUUAAUCCGCGCAGAGUUAGUCGGCACCUAAGGCGAGGGCGAAAGCCGUAGUCGAUGGAAACAAGGUUAAUAUUCCUUGACCUGAUGGUAGUGACGGAUUUCGUAAGUUGUGAGUUCUUAAUGGAUUGAACUUGCCGCGAAGAGGUCCCAAGAAAUAGCUCCAUCAUGAAGACCGUACCCGAAACCGACACAGGUAGAUUAAUAGAGUAUAUUUAGGCGCUUGAGAGAAUGAUGUUGAAGGAACUCGGCAAAAUGCUUCCGUAACUUCGGGAUAAGGAAGACCCUUUUGUAGGCAACUAUGGAAGGGUGGCACAAGCCAGGGAGAAGCGACUGUUUAUCAAAAACACAGGGCUCUGCUAACACGUAAGUGGAUGUAUAGGGUCUGACGCCUGCCCGGUGCUGGAAGGUUAAUGCGGUUGGUGCAAGCUAACUUCUGAAGCCCCAGUAAACGGCGGCCGUAACUAUAACGGUCCUAAGGUAGCGAAAUUCCUUGUCGGGU
RNAcentral lists this ribosomal RNA (1816 nucleotides) under seawater metagenome. RNAcentral describes it as "bacterial LSU rRNA". It matches the Rfam family "Bacterial large subunit ribosomal RNA", at positions 1 to 1977 of the family's 2925-position model. The record is from RNAcentral.